AGGAUAAACGCUGGCGGCGUGCCUAACACAUGCAAGUCGAACGUCUCUUCUUUCGGGAAGAGGAGUGGCGGACGGGUGAGGAACACGUGGGAACCUGCCCUUCAGUGAGGAAUACCGGCGAGAAAUCGCCGACAAGACCGCAUAGCCCUCUCUGGUGAGAGCCAGAGAAGGAAAGCUUCGCAAGAGGCGCUGGAGGAGGGGCCUGCGUCCGAUUAGCUAGUUGGUGGGGUAAGAGCCUACCAAGGCGUCGAUCGGUAGCUGGUCUGAGAGGACGAUCAGCCACACUGGGAUUGAGAACGGCCCAGACUCCUACGGGGGGCAGCAGUGAGGAAUUUUCGGCAAUGGGGGAAACCCUGACCGAGCAACGCCGCGUGCAGGAAGACGGCCUUCAGGUUGUAAACUGCUUUUCUUUGGGACGAGCAAGGACGGUACCAGAGGAAUCAGCCCCGGCCACUACGCGCCAGCAGCCGC
This 471-nucleotide ribosomal RNA is filed under the name uncultured bacterium. RNAcentral describes it as "SSU rRNA". It matches the Rfam family "Bacterial small subunit ribosomal RNA", at positions 26 to 518 of the family's 1533-position model. The record is from RNAcentral.